RNAcentral lists this long non-coding RNA (912 nucleotides) under Coturnix japonica (Japanese quail). RNAcentral's name for it is "lncRNA (ENSCJPG00005003716.1)". Lineage: Eukaryota; Metazoa; Chordata; Aves; Galliformes; Phasianidae. The record is from RNAcentral.
AUGGUCCUAGAGGAAGAUUUGUCCACAGUAACAUUGCUUUGGCCCUUUGGUCUGCAGAGAUUCAGGGCAGCAGACCAUCUCCCAUGGUCUGAUCUCUUCCCAGUGUUCCACAGUGCCCUUGUGUUCCUACAGCACAUAUGUGGAUACCCAGAGAAGGGCUUUCAUCUCAGCGAUCUGUGUUGCUUAGCAGUGGCCAGCCACAUACAGCAAAUGGAGGCAAGAAAAGGGAAAACAUUUCAUAAGACACGAUCCCCUUCUUCAGAAUUUCAAAGGUUAAGAAGAACUGGAGAUAUUUGGAUUAAUGUACAAGAACAGGCGGAUUAAGAGGCCCUGUGAAUUAAGGUGAUCCCUUUUAAGGCUCUGCCCUUUCACCCCUGGAGCUUGGUUUUCAUUCCUGCUCAGACUGAUGUGACUAAACUCCUCCUAAUCUGACAGCUGAUACAGGUCAAAAGUUAAACGUGUCAAGGCAGGAGAAGACAGCCUUCUCAUGGUCCCUGUCGCCAAGGCCAUGGCAGGGAAUCACGCUGACCCAGCAGCCCCAAGCACCCACGCUGCUGUGCCAUAGCAACUGAAAUACAGCAACAAGGCUUUUUUAGCAUCUCCUGGUGACGGGAUUGCCUCAGCCCCCUUAACUAACUGUUGAGCAUCCCAAGGCUGGUAAGAUGGCUCUGCUUCUCACUGCAGAGGCUUGCAAAGCUUUCCAAACCAGAGCAGAGCAGGUUAUCAUCUAAAACUGAAAGUCGUGUCCAAAGGAGGGUGCUGAAGAUGGUUUAUGAGCUGUGAGAUCUUCCAGCUUCCACAGCAAACCUCCAUCCAAAUCCAUAUCUCGGAAUGCUGAGAUUAGUGCUGGCUGGCCUGGGCAGCCUAUACUACCUAAAAUGAAUAAAUGCCUGAUUUCUCCGCGGUGUAACA